UACGUAGGGGGCAAGCGUUAUCCGGAUUUACUGGGUGUAAAGGGAGCGUAGGCGGUGCAGCAAGUCAGAAGUGAAAGCCCGGGGCUCAACUCCGGGACUGCUUUUGAAACUGUUGAAUUAGAUUGCAGGAGAGGUAAGUGGAAUUCCUAGUGUAGCGGUGAAAUGCGUAGAUAUUAGGAGGAACACCAGUGGCGAAGGCGGCUUACUGGACUGUAAAUGACGCUGAGGCUCGAAAGCGUGGGGAGCAAACAGG
RNAcentral lists this ribosomal RNA (253 nucleotides) under uncultured bacterium. RNAcentral describes it as "partial 16S ribosomal RNA". It matches the Rfam family "Bacterial small subunit ribosomal RNA", at positions 524 to 776 of the family's 1533-position model. The record is from RNAcentral.